ACUUAACCGCCAUCUCGCUCUCUCCCUGCCGCCUCUUUGUCGGGUCACUCCCCGGGCCCGUCCGAGGGCCCGCGCCCUCCCCUUCCUGCGAUCACCAGGCCGGGGUUCCGCGGAGUCCGGGCGGGCGGAGCGCUCAGCCCGCGCGCUCCCUGCCUCCCAGCAGCCCCCGCGCGCGGGGCGGCGGCCGAGGCUGCAGCCUCUACAGGCGGCCGCGGGGUGGCGCUGCCGCCGGGUCGGUGAGGAGGCAGAGCGGGCCGGCCCUACCCACUUUCUAUCCCCCAGUCGCCUCCACCCUUCCCACCCACCUCCGGCCCUGGCCUAGGGAGGGGGUUUCAGCUCCGCGGCCCCGAGGCUGCAGCCGUUGCCUUUGGCUUCCCGCGAUGCUUCCUUCCUCCCGCUGCGGAGCCAGCGUCUCACACCGGCGCCCCCGGCGAGAAAUAGAACAGACCAUGAAACCAGACAGAAGUUGGUGACUGGAGGAGGCCUGUAAAAGAAAAUGACAAAGAAAAAAUGCCAUUCAGGAACCAGAGGGAUCUGACUGAGUUAUGUGGAAGACAAGGCUGGCUGAGACCUGCUAUGCCUGUCCCCCGGGGAGACACUGAUCAUUUCAGGGGCAGGAAGGAGCUGGAGGUGGCUCCAGCUGGGCUACAUGGCGUUCGGACAAGGGGCAGGCUCCUCAUAAGACCUGAACUGCCAGGGCCCUGUCAGUGGACAGAGACAACUGCUAUUUCUAUAUAAUGCUUGAAAUGAAUUUGGAUUGAAGAUAAACAUUUUCCCC
This is a long non-coding RNA of Myotis davidii, 778 nucleotides long. RefSeq lists it as uncharacterized. NCBI's taxonomy places the organism in Eukaryota, Metazoa, Chordata, Mammalia, Chiroptera, Vespertilionidae. The record is from RefSeq and is a predicted model, not a curated record. The transcript has 2 exons.